Long non-coding RNA from Homo sapiens (human), 2176 nucleotides. Ensembl annotates it as adipocyte associated metabolic related lncRNA 1. Its record names the gene ASMER1. The record is from Ensembl. Lineage: Eukaryota; Metazoa; Chordata; Mammalia; Primates; Hominidae.
GGCCCUUCCACCAUGUGAGUAUACAGAGAGAAGGUAUGAUCCAUGGAUCAGGAAACCAGCCUUCCCUAGACAUGGAAUCUGCUGGCACCUUGAUUUUGAACUUCCCAGACUCCAGAACUACUCCUGCCCCUGCCACGAGAACACACCCUUUCCAGUUUGCUGGAGAAAUAUAAGAGAAGUCCAGUGAAAGAGAGCUGAGUUUCCCCAAUGAUGCCAUCAAGAUGAACUAACUACAGUUAACCAGCCAGCUGAUAGCAGAUGCAUGAGUGAGCCCAGCUGAGAGCAGGUUGUGCAAGCAUGGCACGUGCAUCUGUUUGGCUUGUGGUGAGGCCUCAGGAAGCUUACAGUCAUGGUGGAAGGCAAAGAGGGAGCCAGUACAUCACGUGAACUCGUAGAGUGAGAACUCAUUCACUACCAUGAAGACAACACCAAGCCAUUCCUGAGGUGAAACUGAAAUUGGCUGUAUCAUCUGAAACUUCAUCUGUGAAGUCCCUGGUGGUUUCCUAGAUGACUACACAGUUGAGUUGCCUCUGAUUGGAAAAGCAGUGUUUUGGUUUUUCAGUUUGUACAAGAGGAAGAAGACGCAUGAUAUGUGUUUGGCUCAUGUGCCUGAAUAUGGCUCCACAGGGAAGACUUGAUACAGCUGAAGCUAUUGCUUUUUAGAGACUUUUUAUUUUGAGCAGCUGCCUUAACAGCCUUCGUCUUGUUACAUCACAUGAGAUAUAUCUCUGGAAUAGGAAGAGAAAAAAGACAUGACUGAGCAAUAAUUUUUGACUAAAACUUAAAAUUACAAAACCAAAACCAGAGAUAGAUGUCCCUGAAGUUGUAUUUUUAUAGUAUGUGAGAACACAAUUUUCUUAUCCUAGUUUUAAGGCAUUCCUCUGGACCCAGGAUUUUUGUUUAGUUUCAUUCACAUAAUCAAACUCUUUUUUUUUUUUUUGCCAUAGACUAAUGCAUUUUGGUGUAAUGAUCUGAGCCCUUAUCCAGAAGGCAUCUAAGACUCAUGUACAAAAAUAGAUUUCAGGGCUAAACAUUCUAAAAGACAAUUGAGUGCUUCUUUUUUCUCCGGCCCCUAGAUGUAAAUGAAUAACCUCUGUUCACUAACUCUUAAUGUAAUAUAAGGGAUAAAUUAUGCUUGUUUAUUUAAUUGUGCUUAACCAGAGUACUAGGUUGGAGUCAAACCACAGAUAUAUUUGUGAGAUGUGACAAAAUGUAGCUUUUAGCCCGUAAUACCCAAGUCAUCUGGGAACAUAACUGAUGACAGUGUCAACACCUUUCAGGAAUUCUGGAGGUGCCUUUGAGUUUAGAAAUUCGUAGGUUCUCUAGAAGCAACAGUAGCAUACUAAAUUAACACAUAACAUUUCAAGCUACAUUUACAUAAUUGCAGUGGUUAUGAUUAAUACAAAUUAUAUUAACUGCCUGUUUUACUCCUUAUAGCUGAUUGGCUGAAUUUACCAGUGGGUUUGGUAUGUUCAACAAAUGAUCCAAAUUACCUUUUCAUUUCAGUUAAGAAACUAAUCAAAGCAAAUACACUUUGAUUUGUUGAGAGGCAGAGAUUCUCCCUAAGUGGCAAUGUCCUUGGCCUUCUAAGCUAAAACCUAAAUGGAACUAUAAUAUAUAUUUUGAUGCUUUAUCUCACUUGAGUUUUUUAUUCUUUAACUGAAGGGCAGCCAUGGACCAUAAAUACAUAGAAGAUAAAAAUAUAUUGAGCUUAGGAGUUUGGUCUGUUCAAUGGAUGAGAACUUUAUAUUUUCCCUUAUAAACACAAUUUUCAAAGAAUAGCCUGUAAUAGUCGUGAAAAUGGAAACCAAUACUGGGGAAAUGUGGACUGCAACUCUGAAAAGUUGAAGACUAUUCACCCCGGUGGACUCAUCAUGUUGGGGACUUUCAAUUGCUACUUUAAAAAGAACGCUUCACUGAAAUAGGUCUCAUCCCAUCAGGAACAUAGAAAAACAAGCAGCAGGCCGGGCGCGGCGGCACAGGCCUAUAAUCCCAGCUACUUGGGAGGCUGAGGCAGAAGAAUCGCUUGAACCCAGGAGGCGGAGGUUGCAGUGAGCCGAGAUCGCGCCACUGCACUCCAGCCUGGGCGACAGAGAGAGACUCUGUCUCAAAAAAAAGUAAAAAAAAAGAAAAAAAGGAAAACAAAAGAAAAAAGAAAAGCAGUUGUUUAUCUUUU